Molecule: ribosomal RNA, 468 nt
Filed under: uncultured bacterium
Lineage: Bacteria
Description: partial 16S ribosomal RNA
Rfam family: Bacterial small subunit ribosomal RNA
Source: RNAcentral
GACGAACGCUGGCGGCGUGCUUAACACAUGCAAGUCGAACGGAAAGGCCCUGCUUUUGUGGGGUGCUCGAGUGGCGAACGGGUGAGUAACACGUGAGUAACCUGCCCUUGACUUUGGGAUAACUUCAGGAAACUGGGGCUAAUACCGGAUAGGAGCUCCUGCUGCAUGGUGGGGGUUGGAAAGUUUCGGCGGUUGGGGCUGGACUCGCGGCUUAUCAGCUUGUUGGUGGGGUAGUGGCUUACCAAGGCUUUGACGGGUAGCCGGCCUGAGAGGGUGACCGGCCACAUUGGGACUGAGAUACGGCCCAGACUCCUACUGGAGGCAGCAGUGGGGAAUAUUGCACAAUGGGCGGAAGCCUGAUGCAGCAACGCCGCGUGCGGGAUGACGGCCUUCGGGUUGUAAACCGCUUUCGCCUGUGACGAAGCGUGAGUGACGGUAAUGUGUAAAGAAGCACCGGCUAACUACGUG